This 174-nucleotide ribosomal RNA is filed under the name uncultured bacterium. Its description in RNAcentral is "partial 16S ribosomal RNA". It matches the Rfam family "Bacterial small subunit ribosomal RNA", at positions 335 to 524 of the family's 1533-position model. The record is from RNAcentral.
ACUCCUACGGGAGGCAGCAGCAAGGAAUCUUCCGCAAUGGGCGAAAGCCUGACGGAGCAACGCCGCGUGGGGGAGGACGCUUUUCGGAUUGUAAACCCCUUUUCUCGGGGACGAAGCACUGACGGUUCCCGAGGGAGAAGGACCGGCUAACUACUUGCCAGCAGCCGCGGUAAU